Molecule: unclassified non-coding RNA, 1878 nt
Filed under: Hevea brasiliensis (rubber tree)
Lineage: Eukaryota; Viridiplantae; Streptophyta; Magnoliopsida; Malpighiales; Euphorbiaceae
Source: RNAcentral
CUACAGCCAAGUAGCAUUUCUCCCGUUCGUCCAUUGCUCCUUUAUUUCUCUCUACCUCACAAUGGCAAAUGCCGGAGUUGUAACCGUCUACGGCAACGGCGCUAUCUAUGAAACCACCACUAAGAAAUCCCCCUUCUCCGUCAAGGUGGGCCUUGCCCAGAUGCUCCGCGGCGGCGUUAUCAUGGACGUCGUCAACGCCGAUCAAGCCCGCAUGGCCGAGGAAGCCGGCGCCUGCGCAGUCAUGGCCUUGGAGCGCGUGCCCGCUGACAUCCGCGCUCAGGGCGGCGUUGCCCGCAUGAGCGACCCGCAACUAAUCAAAGAAAUCAAACAAUCCGUCACAAUUCCCGUGAUGGCCAAAGCCCGUAUUGGCCAUUUCGUGGAGGCCCAAAUACUCGAGGCAAUCGGAGUCGAUUAUAUCGACGAGAGCGAAGUUCUCACUCCUGCCGAUGAAGAAAACCACAUUAACAAGCAUAAUUUCCGGAUUCCUUUUGUCUGCGGUUGCAGGAAUCUUGGAGAAGCCCUCCGCAGAAUCCGGGAGGGAGCGGCCAUGAUCAGAACCAAAGGGGAGGCCGGCACUGGCAAUAUCAUCGAGGCGGUUAGGCACGUGAGGUCCGUCAUGGGGGACAUUAGAGUCUUGAUGAACAUGGAUGACGAUGAGGUUUUUACUUUCGCCAAGAAAAUUGCGGCUCCUUACGAUUUGGUGAUGCAGACCAAGCAGUUAGGACGGCUUCCGGUGGUGCAUUUUGCGGCGGGUGGGGUAGCGACCCCAGCGGAUGCAGCCAUGAUGAUGCAGCUGGGAUGCGAUGGGGUGUUUGUGGGUUCUGGAGUGUUUAAGAGUGGGGAUCCGGCGAGGAGAGCCCGCGCGAUUGUGCAGGCAGUGACGCAUUAUAGUGAUCCUGAUGUGCUUGCGGAGGUGAGCUGUGGAUUGGGCGAGGCUAUGGUUGGAAUUAAUCUGAAUGAUGAUAAGGUUGAAAGGUACGCCAAUCGAUCAGAGUAAUAGCUAAUUAGCUAUUGAAUCACAUUACAUUUGGUGGGGGAUAUGCGUACCCCUAUACUAUACUACUCUUGCUUUUAGCUUUGGCUGAAUAUUUAGCCCUUUCAACUUGUGAGACAUCAUCUGGAUUUAUAUUUUAUUGCUUAAUCCGUAAUCUUAGAAACAUUGUUUAUUUUCAAUUCUCAAGUUUUUAAUUAUGGGCUGUUAGAAACUGUUACAGAUGGAUUUGUUUUGCUCCCCCCUUUUUGGUUGCAAAUAAUGAAGUUGAAUGGAGAUAUAUGAACUGACAUGAUAAAAAAGAGUUUCAGACUUUUAGAAGAGUUUCCCCCUUUUUACUUGCUGUUGCUGAUUGUGAUCCCACUAAGUAAAUCCUUUGAUUGUAUUGAACACCUAGUCGUAGUUACUAGUUUACUAUUUUGGUUUUGGCAAGCCUGGCUUUGGUUUAUAAGGAAUGCUCUUGAGGUUUUAUUAGCUGAUCAUAAGCUUUGGUUUUAUUUCCAUCUGUUUGAUAGUUAUAUGCAUGUAUCCCUAACCUAUUACACGCAUUUAAUGUUACUAUUGAUAGAAAUGGAUGGUUGGUUAGCACUUGAAUUGCUUAAUUGGCACAGUUCUCUACCUGCUUUGCCUUGGAAUAUUUUGGACUAUGGAUCCUAAAUUUAUGAUUUAGGUAAUUGGCUUAACUAGUUGGAUUCAGUGUCUGCGACUGCAAACUGUAUUAGAUUGGAUGCAUGAGCGGUGUUUUAUGCAGUAGAUCAUGAGAUUGGAUGAUAUUAGAUUGGAUGCAUGAGUCUUGCUUGUAAUGGGCCUCUGGCCAGAUAUAUCUUGUAAGAGCCCAUUGGGUUUUUCUCUUUAAUGAAUCUAUCUUUUCUAAAAAAAAAAAAAAA